ACAGCUUUAGAAAUCAUCCCU
This 21-nucleotide microRNA is filed under the name Gossypium raimondii (Peruvian cotton). RNAcentral's name for it is "gra-miR7505b". Lineage: Eukaryota; Viridiplantae; Streptophyta; Magnoliopsida; Malvales; Malvaceae. The record is from miRBase by way of RNAcentral.